GAUGAAGAACGUAGCGAAAUGCGAUAAGUAAUGUGAAUUGCAGAAUUCAGUGAAUCAUCGAAUCUUUGAACGCACAUUGCGCCCGCCAGUAUUCUGGCGAGCAUGCCUGUUCGAGCGUCAUUUCAACCAUCAAGCCCCAGGCUUGUGUUGGAGCCCUGCGGCUGCCGCAGCCUCCCAAAACCAGUGGCGGGCUCGCUAUCACACCGAGUGCAGAGUUUACUCUUCGCUCAGGGCGUGUGGCGGGUGCUAGCCGUGAAACCCCCAACUUCUCAAGGUUGACCUCGGAUCAGGUAGGAAUACCCGCUGAACUUAAGCAUAUCAAUAAGCGGAGGA
This 333-nucleotide unclassified non-coding RNA is filed under the name soil metagenome. RNAcentral describes it as "partial contains 5.8S ribosomal RNA, internal transcribed spacer 2, and large subunit ribosomal RNA". The stretch from base 1 to 120 matches the Rfam family "5.8S ribosomal RNA", at positions 35 to 154 of the family's 154-position model. The record is from RNAcentral.